UCUGGGUUAAGAAACAUGAUAGACUGAUGUAUAAAAGAGUUAUUAAGCCUGUUGUAUCUAAACAAAGG
Sander lucioperca (pikeperch) is the source of this 68-nucleotide long non-coding RNA. RefSeq lists it as uncharacterized. Lineage: Eukaryota; Metazoa; Chordata; Actinopteri; Perciformes; Percidae. The record is from RefSeq and is a predicted model, not a curated record. The transcript is spliced from 3 exons.